GGCUUUACAGCGUGAGGCAAGAUGGCGACCCAGGCGGCAGCAGCACUCCUGGACGAGCUUAUGGGAAGGACCAGGAAUGUUUUACCGCAGGAACGACAACAGAAACUAAGCUGGGACUCUCCUGAGGUUUGCCGUCAUUACUUGGUUAAAUUCUGCCCACAUGAUCUCUUUACAAACACAAAAUCUGACCUUGGCCCAUGUGAAAAGACCAUUCAUGAUGAAGAACUAAAGAGAGAGUUUGAUAUUUCCAACUCCUAUCGCCGCACUGCCUUCGAGGAUGAGUUUGUGAGAUACGCCGAGUCUAUGCUGACAGACGUGGACAAGCGGAUAAGGAAAGGCAAGCAGCGCCUCGCACUUUCGGUCAAAGAUGCACUGGAGAGCAGUACUACGGGGGACGGUCGGGUGGAUGAACAGCUGGAAUUGCUCUCCGAGAGGAUAACAGGUCUGGUGAGUGAAGCAGAGCGUCUUGGCUCGGAAGGCAAUGUUGAGGAGGCCCAGGGACUGCUUAAGCUCUGUGAUCAGCUCAGGGAGGAGAGAGAUGCCCUCCGCCGCAGCAGUGAAAACUCAGUGUGGCAUCAGGCAGCAGAGAUGGCAGCGUCACAAGAGAAGCAGAUGGAGGUGUGUGAAGUGUGUGGUGCCUUUCUCAUUGUGGGGGACGCUCAGCAGCGCAUUGACGACCACCUCACUGGGAAGCAACACGUGGGGUUUGCCAAGCUGCGUCAGGCCAUCCAGGAGAUCAGAGACAGCCGGGAAAAGGCCAGAACAGAACGUGAGGAGCUGCGGGAGAAAGAACGGCAAGAGAGACGCAAGGCCCUGCUGGAGGAAGAGAAAAGAAGGGAGAGGGAAAGAGAAGACCGCCGGAAGAAGGAGGAGGAAAGGCGGAGAAGAAGCUACGAAAGUGACCGAGACAGGAGAGACCGUAGCCGAGACAGAGACCGGGACAGAAGAGAUCGCCGGCGGUCGCGUAGCAGGGACCGGCGCAGUUCAAGCAGUCGUGACCGAGGUGACCGCAGCUACCGCUCUCGAGAGAAUGAUCGGCGGGACAGACAUGGGCGAUCCAAUAGUAGAGAUUAUGAGCGCAGGAGAUAUCGGGAGGAGAAUGGUAGUUAUUAGGAUCCUUAGGGAGCUCUCUGGCAGUGGUGAGGACAGGAGGAGGGACGGGUCCAAAGGCGACGUAGCAAGACGGCAGAGAAGUGGACGAGAUGGGAGGGGCAUUGUGAAGCUUUAAGCAGUGAGUGAUCUCCACUUGAGGUAAGUGGCCACGUGUUUGUUGCUGCUUUCUUCUCUCCUACACAGGGUCUUCACCAGGUGAGUGGCCAGUGGUGCAUUGUGUCUGGGCCGGGUGGAUGGAUGCCAAGUGCUUCUUGUUCCUGUUGUUGCUUCCCUCCCAAUGUAAAUCUUUACUUUAUUUUGUAUUCCCCCACUCCAAUACCCAUUUCUUUUUUAUGUACUAGUAUUUUUAUUCUUUCAUGAUAUAGGCAGAAACAUAACCACUGAAUACCUUACAAGGUUCUGUGAAAAGCAUCUCAAAAUAGACAAGCAAUGUCUAGUGUUGCGUGAUGAGAACUUGAAGACUUGGCUGUGAAGGAGAGGUGGUGUCCCAACGCUAGGUGCCUCUUGACUCGAGCACUUCAUUCCUUGACCCUCACUUUGACUUCUUGACACCAACAUUUUCAUGAGUAAUUCCUCCUGCUGCACCUCAGACACAUCCAGGAUGACAAGAUAUGUGUUGGAAAUGGGAAUAGCAGGAAAGAAAACACAAAAUGAGAAGGUGGAAUUGAGAGGCAAGUUAGGUAUGAAGACCACAGUAUUAGUGGAACAGUAAUGUGCUUGCCUAAAGACUGGGAGGCUGUCCAGCAUACAUACAAUUCAUUCUAGUUGUUUAAAUAUUAAGAUUUAAUUGUUUUCAGUUUAUAUUCUUUAGUCAUACACAUAGAUGUUUGUGGAUUUCCUGUUAACUGCACUGCAUUAUGUUAUUUGCUAAAUUAUGCCAAUACAUUUUUUUUUAUAAUUAGCAUUGUCUAGCAAAAUCUCAACUGGUCCCUUGUCAUUAUGUUUGGCUUACAAAUUUUAACUCUUCCCUCCCAUUUGUGGCCUAGUAGCUACAGAAUAGUAUGUUGACAGUUGGGCAUUUAUGAUCCUUUGUAAAGCUGUAGUGUUGAAUUACUGUGUCUUAUUCCCAGUUGAUCCCUGUCUUGAGAUGCAGUUUUAAGUGAAUUGCUGUUGCUUGCAGAAUUAAACUGCAUUAAGUUGCUAAUCUAAAUAGAAUUGAACAGUGUAAUAUUAAAAUGCUAUUUAUACCAUCAUUAGUAAUCUGUUUUCCUGAAGUUAAUGUGGUGGGAGUCUUGACUUUUUAUAGAUGAAUAAAUAAAUAGAUAACAGUGAGUAGUAACAUCUGAUAUGAGAGGGAGUCAUGGUUGGUAGUUCCACGCUCACUCUGAUUACGUUUUGUGUGUGCCCUCAAUCUUGAGUUUACAAUCUGCAGACAGUCACUAAUCAUCAUGUGUUUCAUAGUCAAAUUCAAUAGCUGGAAACAAUCUCUCCUCGAUGAUCAUGAAGUAGAGAUGCGUAAUUACCACCUGAUAUUUUUUAAUGGCAGUUAAUUUGCCUUUCCUCUAUGAUAAAUUCUUCAAAACAACUUAAUAAGGAUUGAUAAAGUAGGUAAACAUUUUAGGUAGAGAUUAUUACUAUCCAUCUCUGUAUCCCUAAUGCCUCAAUCCAUUUGCCAAGUCAAUCUGUGCUUUCUGUGUAGACAGGCAGUACUUCCACACUGUCCUCAAUCUCAAUCUGUUUCUCAUUACUUCAUAAUAUAUCUUAUCUUGCAGGCGAUCCUCCUCUUAACCUUUCCCAAUCUGACUGUUACUUUUCACAAUAUCAUUAAAACUCAUCUAUAUUCUCGCCCAGCUUUGUGAAGCACGUUCAUGGAAAAUUACUGAAAUAUCAGGUUCUAAAGGAUACAUGUGCAUUGUUCAAGUUACACUAUGCAGCAAAAAUACUCAAAAUCUUUUGAAUAAAGAAGCGAAUAGCUAUAUAUUGUUCAAAAUUGAUCAGUGAGCUUAUUGGCAAUAAGUGAUGUUGCCAGUGUAUGGCAGGCUUGUACUGGGUGUGUUCUGUUCACUGAGGACACACUGGUUGUGGAUGGUUGUGUGGGAUGCCUGGUACAGUACCAUCAGUGUGCCCUUUUAAUGUAGAUCUCUUAUCCCUGGACUGUCUGACAGGUGUAUGGUUUGGGUAACAUUGUGUAUGUAGCAUUACUUACAAAAUCUAUUUACCAAGAAACAGCUGAAAGAGAAGACACUGUAUACCGCCUUGUCUUAGUGUCAUUCUGUGCCUGCCAUUAUUCUUCGUAAUUAGAUUCUUAUUAAAAUACUUUACUGUAAUAACAGGGCACAGGCUCAUCAUAAUCUCAAAGUAAGAGGUUACUUUUGUGCACUUCCUGCAACAUAUUCAAGUUUUCAGUUCUCUUGAUUUCUUGCCAUAUGCUGGAUCUCUGGAUAUGCAAGAUGUCUGGCCUCCUGCCAUGGGCCAUGGGCCAAGUUCAUCUCUGCCCUGGGCUGUAAUGCUGAUGUCAUAGUGGUGGAAUGUGUGAAACAAACUCCUAUGCCUCAACUAUCAUUUGUAUGUGCAAGAGACAAGAACAUGUCCUUGAUUAAUUUAGAGUACUGUAGUUGGCAGAGCAUAGAGAACAGAUGAUACUGAAGGGCCAGUGACUUUUUCUUAAGCUGACUGAUUUUUUAAUAGUUUUGGUGUGUGUGUGUGUGUGAGUGUGUGAGAGAGAGAGAGAGAGAGCGUCUGUAAGUAUGUGCACCUAUAUUGUUCAUGUCUUAUUUUUUCAAGGUAAUAUGACCACAGAUUACUAGAUAUUAGGUGUCACCAGUUUUUUUUCCUCAUUUCAUUCACAUGGUUUGUUUAUUUGACAAUGUGCUGGCAUCCUUGGAACUUUAGAUAUAUUCACCUUACCAAGAGUCAGCAGAUGACAAUGAAAUGCAAGAGAAAGAAUUGUCAUCUGAAUGAAAUGAUGAACAUUUCUCCUCCCCAGCAGUCACACUUGUACUGUGUUCAGAGAGACACAUUGCAGGCUCUUAUGUGUUGUGGCCAUAGACUUUCAUCAUAUCCAGAACACAGAGGUAUUUCUCAGAUAAGACCAAUGUAAUUACUUACUUCAGUUACUUCAGUGUGCCUUGUACAUAACAAUACUAGAUGGGGUAAUGAAUGUAUUGUGAGGGUAAACUACUCGAGUGGACUUUUCUCAGGGUAAAUAACUUUAAUGUAAAUCUAUAGGAGGAAUUUUAAAGAUACACAUGGUUAUUCUCUCUCUCUCUCUCUCUCUCUCUCUCUCUCUCUCUCUCUCUCUCUCUCUCUCUCUCUCUCUCUCUCUCUCUCUC
This 4385-nucleotide unclassified non-coding RNA is filed under the name Portunus trituberculatus (swimming crab). Its description in RNAcentral is "luc7-like protein 3, transcript variant X2". Lineage: Eukaryota; Metazoa; Arthropoda; Malacostraca; Decapoda; Portunidae. The record is from RNAcentral.